UGCUACCUGGCUUAUUGUAGCCCAUUGC
Molecule: small RNA, 28 nt
Filed under: Bombyx mori (domestic silkworm)
Lineage: Eukaryota; Metazoa; Arthropoda; Insecta; Lepidoptera; Bombycidae
Description: ovarian small RNA-34081
Source: RNAcentral